Long non-coding RNA from Cyclopterus lumpus (lumpfish), 1026 nucleotides. RefSeq lists it as uncharacterized. The transcript is spliced from 3 exons. The record is from RefSeq and is a predicted model, not a curated record. Lineage: Eukaryota; Metazoa; Chordata; Actinopteri; Perciformes; Cyclopteridae. The annotation marks the transcript as partial.
UACCUUAUGACGUGGCUGUAUGAAAAACCUGCCUCAAUUCUUUAAACUUCUUUACAAUAUUGUAUCUAGAUAUUCCAUUGGGAUUAAUAGCAAUGAAAAUACACAACAUGUCAUCAAGUAUUUAAUCUGGCUCACACCUUGAAGUUCUAGUUUUAGUGAGUGGAUUCCAAAGCACCGACGCCUCUCAGGACUGCCAAUCAUCAACCAGCAGUCCAGCUGGAGAGCAUUCCUCCCCGAACACAAACAGCAGAGCCCCUGACUCACAGCGCUGUGUCGGGGGGAGGGCAAACCUAACGGUUGACAUCACUGGCCUGUGAUGUCAUGGUGAUGUCAGUGCCUCUAAUUGUAAAUUGCACACUUAGUCGGCUGUGGCAACAUUUCAGUCAGAGAGAAGACUCUGAAGGGGACGCUUUCUCUUGGAAAAGCCUGGGGGUAGACACAGCAAGGCUGUUACUGGGGAGGAGACAAAAACCGGCAACUCGGGUAACUUGAUUGCCUACAAGCUGUGUAACACCAGCUCCACCCUCCCUCAGGAGGUGGCGAAGGCCGACGCUCACAGCUCGCUGGUAUCAGUGGAAGCCUCCCUAAAGAGGGAGCAGCGCUUGAUGAAGAACAGGGAAGCCGUCCGGGAGUCCCGGGUAAAGAAGAAGGAAUACAUCAAAUGCCUCGAAGAUCGCAUGUACUUGUUAGAAAAUAUCAACAAGACUCUGACUCGGGAGAUCAAAGCCUUAAAAGACACACACGCACAAAACACUCCUUGUCCUUGCUGUAAAUAAUGUGUUUACACAAUGAUGUCAAUGUUUCUGCUGGUGGUGACGAUUAACAUGAAUACGUGUAUAUUUGGUUAAGUAACACACCCAUGUGUGGAAUUAAAUAACUUACUGUUCACGUGGCUGAAUUUAGAAGGUUGUUUCAGUUCUCUGGUGGUGCUUUAUUUCCUCCUCUGUUGUCAUGUCAUCUGAUAGAUUCUGAUUCUGAUAGACAUUCUUUUUAAUGUAUUUGCAUUAAUAAAGUUAUUGCUCAGUC